GCAGGCCUAAACAUGCAAGUCGAACGGUAACAGGAAGCAGCUUGCUGCUUCGCUGACGAGUGGCGGACGGGUGAGUAAUGUCUGGGAAACUGCCUGAUGGAGGGGGAUAACUACUGGAAACGGUAGCUAAUACCGCAUAACGUCGCAAGACCAAAGAGGGGGACCUUCGGGCCUCUUGCCAUCGGAUGUGCCCAGAUGGGAUUAGCUAGUAGGUGGGGUAACGGCUCACCUAGGCGACGAUCCCUAGCUGGUCUGAGAGGAUGACCAGCCACACUGGAACUGAGACACGGUCCAGACUCCUACGGGAGGCAGCAGUGGGGAAUAUUGCACAAUGGGCGCAAGCCUGAUGCAGCCAUGCCGCGUGUAUGAAGAAGGCCUUCGGGUUGUAAAGUACUUUCAGCGGGGAGGAAGGCGAUAAGGUUAAUAACCUUGUCGAUUGACGUUACCCGCAGAAGAAGCACCGGCUAACUCCGUGCCAGCAGCCGCGGUAAUACGGAGGGUGCAAGCGUUAAUCGGAAUUACUGGGCGUAAAGCGCACGCAGGCGGUCUGUCAAGUCGGAUGUGAAAUCCCCGGGCUCAACCUGGGAACUGCAUUCGAAACUGGCAGGCUAGAGUCUUGUAGAGGGGGGUAGAAUUCCAGGUGUAGCGGUGAAAUGCGUAGAGAUCUGGAGGAAUACCGGUGGCGAAGGCGGCCCCCUGGACAAAGACUGACGCUCAGGU
RNAcentral lists this ribosomal RNA (720 nucleotides) under Enterobacter hormaechei. RNAcentral describes it as "bacterial SSU rRNA". It matches the Rfam family "Bacterial small subunit ribosomal RNA", at positions 42 to 752 of the family's 1533-position model. The record is from RNAcentral. Lineage: Bacteria; Pseudomonadati; Pseudomonadota; Gammaproteobacteria; Enterobacterales; Enterobacteriaceae.